UACGGGGGGAGCAAGCGUUGUUCGGAUUUACUGGGCGUAAAGGGCGCGUAGGCGGUCAGCACAAGUCAGUUGUGAAAUCUCCGGGCUUAACCCGGAAAGGUCAACUGAUACUGUGCGACUAGAGUGCGGAAGGGGCAACUGGAAUUCUCGGUGUAGCGGUGAAAUGCGUAGAUAUUGGGAAGAACACCGGUGGCGAAGGCGGCGACCUGGUCCAUUACUGACGCUGAGGCGCGAAAGCGUGGGGAGCAAACAGG
RNAcentral lists this ribosomal RNA (254 nucleotides) under uncultured bacterium. RNAcentral's name for it is "partial 16S ribosomal RNA". It matches the Rfam family "Bacterial small subunit ribosomal RNA", at positions 524 to 776 of the family's 1533-position model. The record is from RNAcentral.